UCCCUUAUCCACACCCAGAGCCCCCUGCUGUCCACUGUGGAAGCCGUGACCGUGCUUGGCAGCAGAGUGGGCUUCCUGAUUGUUUGUAGGAAGCCAAUGUCGGUAGACAAGCCUGCUCCAGGUAGCUGUGAGGGCCGACAGCAGGCAGUCGCCAGUCUGGUGUAGUCAGGAGCAGCUCUGGAAAAGCUCUGAGUGCCGAGAGCAGCAUGGACCGGCGUGGUCUGCUCUUGGCAGUUGGAGCCCGAGUUUGAGAUUUAGAGUUUGUCCAAAAUAAUUUCUGAACAUGUCAGAGUUGCCAGACCUGUUCCUUCUGCUUUCAAAAGUAUUUUAAGGGUCCGCGUAGUACCUAAUGGCUCUUUCUUCCCAAGCCUUAGUUAAGCGAUUUUUAAUAUGAGCAGCUGCUCUGAAGUGUCACAGUCCCCACAGGUAGAUUUUGUGACAGUGAGAGAAUCAGCCAGAGGUCACCUCCACCCUCUGAUAACAUUUUCGGGCAAGUGCGGCUGGUCAAGGAGGGACAGACGCUCUGCUUUUUGCGCCUCCCUCCCUGCCGCCCGGUGGGAGAACUCUGCGCAUGCGCAGGCCAGGCAGCUUCUGAGGAGGGGGAGGGGAGGAGCGUCCCACUGACCUGCUGCCCCCCUCCCCCCCGACGGUUCAAGAUUAGCCUGGGGUGGUGAUCGGGCUGCCUGGGAAUAGAAGGGGGGAAACCAGCCGGCUGACACUACUUUCUCUUCCCCUCAGGAACGGGUGGUGGGCUUCCACAUACUGGGGCCCAACGCUGGAGAAGUCACCCAGGGCUUCGCGGCCGCGCUCAAGUGCGGGCUGACCAAGAGGCAGCUGGACAGCACGAUCGGGAUCCACCCCGUGUGUGCAGAGAUCUUCAUGACGCUGUCGGUGACCAAGCGCUCCGGGGGCAGCAUCCUCCAGUCCGGCUGCUGAGGCUAAGCCCCGGUGCGGGUGCCGCCGACUCCGAGCCACCGGCCGGGCCUGGGAAGGCACCGGGCCUGGCCGGCCACGGAGGCGCCAUCGCACCGCACCGGGGUCGAGAACUCGAGGCUCACCAAUUUAUUUUUGCUUUUGUUAUUCAAGCUUCGUGUGUCACAUUCAAAAAUCACUUUGAGUCUAAUCUUGUAUUAGUUAGCUCUGGGACACAAUAAUUGAAACCCACAAUUUAAAGGAAAAGAAGUUUAAGUUAGCUCACGGAUUUUGGCAUUUAGUCCAUGCUGGCUAGCUAGCUCCAAGGCAGGAACAUUAUGGUGGCUGGAAAGCAGACACUGGGAGCAGUAUCCAGGAGAAAAGGGCCAGGGAAAAAUGUAACACCAAAGUCAGCCUUCCAUGACCCAGGCAGACACAACAAGAAGUGUGCUCCCCCAAGGCCCUGGGCAGCUCCUAACCCAACCAAGGUGACACGAUGAAGCUUUGCCAUCACAACAUCAAGCAGCUUAUCCCCAUGUUUUCUUCCAAAAGGAGAGAUGAUGGAGCCUCUAAGCAGAGAACUGGGUUUUUCAAUGUCAGUGACCAACACAAGAUGCCCAGGAUGCCUGCCUUACCAUUCUGGUAAAAUCUGAACUGGUAGAAGCCAGGGCGAGCAACUCUGUCCUUUGAAACAUUAAAAUGGGGAGCAGAUAUAUGAAAAAUGCUAAUUAUUAACCAUCAGAGAAAUGCAAAUCAAAGCCACAGAGACAUAUCACCUCAUAUAAUAAUGGCUAUAAUAAAAAAUAUAUAUCAAGUGCUCCAAGAAUAUGAAGAAGUAGAAAAGUGUUCACCAUUUUUGAGGAUAAUAUGGAUUCAUACACUCAUCAUGGAAAACAGUAUGGAGGUGCCCCAAUGCAUGACAAUUAUAGUUACUAUAUGACCCAGCCAUCUCACUCCUGGGGCUAUGGCCAAGGGAAAUGAAAUUUAUAUAUCCAAGAGACAUAUGUGCCACCACACUUAUUGCAGCACUCUUCACAAUAGCCAAGAAGGGCUGGGGAUGUAGCUCAGUGGCACUGUGCCUGCCUUGUAAGCACAAGGUCCUGGGUUCCAUCCCUGGUACUGGAAAAAAACAAAACAAAAACAAAAUAAGAAAACUAUAGCCACAAAAUUUAAACAAUCCAAAGUGUGUAUCAAAUGACUCAAAUGAUGAAUGCUAGAAGAACAUGUAUAAACUCAAUGGAAUUCUAUUCACCCAUAAAGAAUGGAACUCUGUCAUGUGCAAUAACAGGCAGGUCAUUCUGUUUAAAGAAAUAAACCAGGCACAGAAAGAUGA
Molecule: non-coding RNA, 2245 nt
Organism: Heterocephalus glaber (naked mole-rat)
Lineage: Eukaryota; Metazoa; Chordata; Mammalia; Rodentia; Bathyergidae
Source: RefSeq, a predicted model, not a curated record